GGGUCAGUAGGUUGGUCGUGCCACCGGUACGUACUGGUCUCACUGAUUCUUCCUUCCUGAAGAACCGUAAUGCCAUUAAUUUGGUGUUGCGGGGAAACAGGACUGUUACUUUGAAAAAAUUAGAGUGUUUAAAGCAAGCUAACGCUUGAAUACAUUAGCAUGGGAUAAUGAAAUAGGACGAUCGAUCCUAUUUUGUUGGUUUCUAGGAUUGACGUA
RNAcentral lists this ribosomal RNA (216 nucleotides) under Glomeromycotina sp. RNAcentral's name for it is "partial small subunit ribosomal RNA". The stretch from base 40 to 216 matches the Rfam family "Eukaryotic small subunit ribosomal RNA", at positions 686 to 864 of the family's 1831-position model. Lineage: Eukaryota; Fungi; Glomeromycota. The record is from RNAcentral.